GUGACUGAGCGGCGGACGGGUGAGUAACGCGUGGGUAACCUGCCUCAUACAGGGGGAUAACAGUUGGAAACGGCUGCUAAUACCGCAUAAGCGCACAGUACCGCAUGGUACGGUGUGAAAAACUCCGGUGGUAUGAGAUGGACCCGCGUCUGAUUAGAUAGUUGGUGGGGUAACGGCCCACCAAGCCGACGAUCAGUAGCCGACCUGAGAGGGUGACCGGCCACAUUGGGACUGAGACACGGCCCAAACUCCUACGGGAGGCAGCAGUGGGGAAUAUUGCACAAUGGGCGAAAGCCUGAUGCAGCGACGCCGCGUGAGUGAAGAAGUAUCUCGGUAUGUAAAGCUCUAUCAGCAGGGAAGAAAAUGACGGUACCUGACUAAGAAGCCCCGGCUAACUACGUGCCAGCAGCCGCGGUAAUACGUAGGGGGCAAGCGUUAUCCGGAUUUACUGGGUGUAAAGGGAGCGCAGACGGCGAUGCAAGUCUGGAGUGAAAGCCCGGGGCUCAACCCCGGGACUGCUUUGGAAACUGUAUGGCUAGAGUGCUGGAGAGGCAAGCGGAAUUCCUAGUGUAGCGGUGAAAUGCGUAGAUAUUAGGAGGAACACCAGUGGCGAAGGCGGCUUACUGGAC
This 629-nucleotide ribosomal RNA is filed under the name uncultured Lachnospiraceae bacterium. RNAcentral's name for it is "bacterial SSU rRNA". It matches the Rfam family "Bacterial small subunit ribosomal RNA", at positions 87 to 734 of the family's 1533-position model. The record is from RNAcentral. Lineage: Bacteria; Bacillati; Bacillota; Clostridia; Lachnospirales; Lachnospiraceae.